This 223-nucleotide unclassified non-coding RNA is filed under the name Hevea brasiliensis (rubber tree). The record is from RNAcentral. Lineage: Eukaryota; Viridiplantae; Streptophyta; Magnoliopsida; Malpighiales; Euphorbiaceae.
GGAGGCUAAUACAACUGACGCCUCAAGCAUACAAGGUCAAUGUAGAGCAUGCUGAUCGUUUCUAUAAUCAGUUUGGAACACGGGAUGAUGAAGAAAUUGUAGAUGGUGAUGAAUUCAUGCAAAAUGUUGGAAAUUCAAAACGUUCGAAGUCUUCAAAACCAUGCGACUAUCAAGCACUUUUUAGUGGAAAUUAUGAUGAUGACUUUAUGAUAGGCAUUAAGUU